CAGACCCAAAACUCCAACACCCCAAAUCCGACCCUGGGUAUCCCAAAGCCCCCAGACCCCAAAUCCUGACCCCAACAAUUUGGAGUUCUCAUUUUUGGGGUUCCAGAUUUUUGGGGUUCCCACAAUUUGGGUUUCCAGUUUUUGGGGUUCCUGGGAUUUUUUUUGUUUCCAUUUUUGGGGUUUUGCCGGUUUUUGGGGUUUUGCCGUUUUUUGGGGUUCCCUGUGCUUUUCGGGUUCCCACAAUUUGGGGUUGGGUUUUCCAUUUUGGGGUUCCCGGUGGUUUUGGGGUUUUCCCAUUUUUGGGGUUCCCGGUGUAUUUGGGGUUCCCAUUUUUGGGGUUCCCAUUUUAUGAGUUUCCCAUUUUUGGGGCUCCCGGUGUUUUUGUGGUUCCCAUUUUGGGGUUCCCAUUUUUGGGGUUUUCCCAUUUUUGGGGUUCCCAGUGUUUUUGGGGUUUUCCCAUUUUUGGGGUUCCCAUUUUGGGGUCCCCAUUUUGGGGUUCCCAUUUUUGGGGUUUUCCCAUUUUUGGGCUCCCCGGUGUUUUUGGGGUUUUCCCAUUUUUGGGGUUCCCAUUUUAUGAGUGUCCCAUUUUUGGGGCUCCCGGUGUUUUCGUGGUUCCCAUUUUGGGGUUCCCAUUUUUGGGGUUUUCCCAUUUUUGGGGUUUUCCCAUUUUUGGGGUUCCCGGUGUAUUUGGGGUCCCCAUUUUGGGGUUCCCAGUGGUUUUGGGGUUCCCAUUUUUGGGGUUUUCUCAUUUUUGGGGUUCUCGGUGUUUUUGUGUUUCACAUUUUUGGGGUUUCCGGUGUUUUUGGGGUUGGGGUUCCCAUUUUUGGGGUUCCCUGUGGUUUUUGGUGUUUCCAUUUUUGAGGUCCCCGGUGUUUUUGGGGUCCCCAUUUUUGGGGGAUUCCCGUUUUUGGGGUUCCCGGUGUUUUUGUGGUUCCCAUUUUGGGGUUCCCAUUUUUGGGGUUCCCUGUGAUUUUGGGGUUCCCAUUUUUUUGGAUUCCCAGUGUUUUUGGGGUUCCCGGUGUUUUUGGUGUUCCCAUUUUUGGGGUUCCCAUUUAGUGAGUUUCCCAUUUUGGGGUUCCCGGUGUAUUUGGGGUUCCCAUUUUUGUGUUUCCCAUUUUUGGGGUUCCCGGUGUUUUUGGGAUUUUCCCAUUUUUGGGGUUCCCGGUGUUUUUGGGGGUUCCCGGUGUUUUUGGGGUCCCCAUUUUUGGGGGUUUCCCAUUUUGGGGUUCCCGGUGUUUUUGGGGAUCCCGGUGGU
RNAcentral lists this long non-coding RNA (1255 nucleotides) under Zonotrichia albicollis (white-throated sparrow). Its description in RNAcentral is "lncRNA (ENSZALG00000002111.1)". The record is from RNAcentral. Lineage: Eukaryota; Metazoa; Chordata; Aves; Passeriformes; Passerellidae.